GAUGAACGCUGGCGGCGUGCCUAAUACAUGCAAGUCGAGCGAACAGAUGAGGAGCUUGCUCCUCUGACGUUAGCGGCGGACGGGUGAGUAACACGUGGAUAACCUACCUAUAAGACUGGGAUAACUUCGGGAAACCGGAGCUAAUACCGGAUAAUAUAUUGAACCGCAUGGUUCAAUAGUGAAAGACGGUUUUGCUGUCACUUAUAGAUGGAUCCGCGCCGCAUUAGCUAGUUGGUAAGGUAACGGCUUACCAAGGCAACGAUGCGUAGCCGACCUGAGAGGGUGAUAGGCCACACUGGAACGGAGAAACGGUCCAGACUCCUACGGGGGGCAGCAGUAGGGAAUCUUCCGCAAUGGGCGAAAGCCUGACGGAGCAACGCCGCGUGAGUGAUGAAGGUCUUCGGAUCGUAAAACUCUGUUAUUAGGGAAGAACAAAUGUGUAAGUAACUAUGCACGUCUGGACGGUACCUAAUCAGAAAGCCACGGCUAACUACGU
RNAcentral lists this ribosomal RNA (496 nucleotides) under uncultured bacterium. RNAcentral describes it as "partial 16S ribosomal RNA". It matches the Rfam family "Bacterial small subunit ribosomal RNA", at positions 28 to 506 of the family's 1533-position model. The record is from RNAcentral.